AUUACCAUACUUCACUGUCUUGUAAAGGACCCAAGUCUUUUUCAUCAGGAAUGCUUGGAAAUCUUCCUUUCAUGAAAGGUUUCAGCACUGCCUUGGGGAAAAUUCAAAACAGGAAUAUAUUGUCAUCAAUGAUUCUCAGCUGACUGGUUUUGCCCUAUGAACUCUACCAUGUACCUACAGUUAUCCUUUGCAGCGCAUGAAGAUCCUCACGGACUGACAUAUGUAUCAAAAAAGAAGAAAGAAUGGCUUCCAUAUUCAAAAGUAAGCACAACAUUUAUGCAUACUUCAUAGCAAUACAAUAUGGAUUCUUUUUGGAUGAGUGUCACUGAUAAUUCUGGAAACAAAGCAUAUUUCCUCAUUCAGAGUAUUUGACGUGGAAUCCGAAUGGUUUCCUGGCACUUUGUGUGAAUAUUAGAGAAUGUUGAAGACUAUCUUGAAGAUAUACAGUGGAUUCUUCCCCAUAGGGCAUUCCUGGGUGGCCAGUGAAGCAGAGACAGUAGUUUCUGUCAUAAUAGUUAGCCACAUUGGAGAAGAACCUGGAUUGGAAUUUAAAUCUUCUACAUCUUAACACAUGAUCUGAUUCAUUAGAUGACAAUGCCUCCCUUCUACAAACAGUCUGUUUCUCAAUAAGGAAGUUUUGGACAUCUCAGCAAAAGCUGGAUUAACCAGAACCUUCAAUAAACCAGAAAUUUGGGGUGAAUGGACAAAAGCAAGACUUCAUUUCUACCAGAAAGUAAAAGCCAAGUUAAAAGAAAGGAAGCUAAUAUCAAUAAUUCCAGUUUAAAACACAUAUACACAACCCAGUAAA
Molecule: long non-coding RNA, 808 nt
Organism: Phascolarctos cinereus (koala)
Lineage: Eukaryota; Metazoa; Chordata; Mammalia; Diprotodontia; Phascolarctidae
Source: RefSeq, a predicted model, not a curated record